Sinocyclocheilus anshuiensis is the source of this 787-nucleotide long non-coding RNA. RefSeq lists it as uncharacterized. The transcript is spliced from 3 exons. Lineage: Eukaryota; Metazoa; Chordata; Actinopteri; Cypriniformes; Cyprinidae. The record is from RefSeq and is a predicted model, not a curated record.
CACACCGCCCCUCAUUCCAGGCGACCACAAAUCAACUUCAUUUCAUUAUAGUGCCGAGACGCUCCUCGCUCCCAGCGGCCCCUGGCCAUUGCAGCGAUAAUAUCCGUGGAUAACCCGAAGCCGUUAAUAUGUUUGCAUACUGAAUGUGUUUUUUUUUCACGCUCAAUCCAGUGACGUAAGUUCUAUUAUGCUUUUAUAUUGAGAGAGAGCAAUAUUCGUCGGCCGUACAACUCCUCCAAACCUGCAGAAAGACACACAGGGCUCGUGUUGUUAGAGAAACGGAGUGGAGUCCCACACGCUGGAGAGAUGUACAUCUUAUAAAUGCAUGGCAACCACAGUCGUACCUACACUGGAUAGUGGACACAUGCACUGAAAAGACCUGGAUCUGGAACAGCUAAAUGGAGAAGCACACCCUAUCUGUGCAAUUUAAGUCUGGUGUCAAGCAACAGAUAAUUAAUGAGAGAAUGGCGGAGCUCAGAUUUUCUUGAUACAACUCAUUCUUUGCAAGUCACAGCACAGACGGACACGCCAUGGAUCUCCUUUGGGUUCUGUACUCCAUGCUGACUGUAUGUAUGGCCAUCAAUAUGGAAGCUACCAGGAGCCAUAGCAUGUUUACCUGUGAGCCUAUCACAUUAAGGAUGUGCCAGGGCCUCGCCUACAAUACCACCUUCAUGCCCAACCUUCUGAAUCACUAUGAUCAGCAGACCGCUGCUCUCGCCAUGGAGCCCUUUCAUCCCAUGGUGAACUUGGAGUGCUCUACUGAAAUUCGCCCAUUCCUGUGUGCCCU